UAGGGGUGAGCAUCGAAUUCGAAUUCGGUAAUUCGGUAGGUUGAAAUCGGUAAUUUUCGGUAAAUGGUUCUGGAAAUAUUCGACCUAAUUCGCAUUCGAAUUAGACACUACCGAAUUCGAAUUCAACCCGAAUUCAAUUCGGUAAACAAAAAAAUACCGAAUUACCGAAUUCCAGAAAACUGCAAGGGUCGCCAAUAUCUCUUCGUUCUCGUACUCACUCAGGCACACCACACAAAU
RNAcentral lists this long non-coding RNA (237 nucleotides) under Coffea arabica (coffee). RNAcentral describes it as "long non-coding RNA (CARA_LNC005639)". Lineage: Eukaryota; Viridiplantae; Streptophyta; Magnoliopsida; Gentianales; Rubiaceae. The record is from RNAcentral.